UACGUAGGGUCCGAGCGUUGUCCGGAAUUAUUGGGCGUAAAGGGCGUGCAGGCGGUCUUGCAAGUCCGAUGUGAAAGCCCCGGGCUCAACCCGGGAAGUGCAUCGGAAACCGCGAGACUUGAGUACGGGAGAGGGCAGUGGAAUUCCUGGAGUAGGGGUGAAAUCCGUAGAUAUCAGGAAGAACACCGGUGGCGAAGGCGGCUGCCUGGACCGAUACUGACGCUGAGACGCGAAAGCGUGGGGAGCAAACAGG
This 253-nucleotide ribosomal RNA is filed under the name uncultured bacterium. RNAcentral describes it as "partial 16S ribosomal RNA". It matches the Rfam family "Bacterial small subunit ribosomal RNA", at positions 524 to 776 of the family's 1533-position model. The record is from RNAcentral.